Molecule: ribosomal RNA, 483 nt
Filed under: uncultured bacterium
Lineage: Bacteria
Description: partial 16S ribosomal RNA
Rfam family: Bacterial small subunit ribosomal RNA
Source: RNAcentral
AUUGAACGCUGGCGGCAGGCCUAACACAUGCAAGUCGAGCGGAUGAAGGGAGCUUGCUCCUGGAUUCAGCGGCGGACGGGUGAGUAAUGCCUAGGAAUCUGCCUGGUAGUGGGGGAUAACGUCCGGAAACGGGCGCUAAUACCGCAUACGUCCUGAGGGAGAAAGUGGGGGAUCUUCGGACCUCACGCUAUCAGAUGAGCCUAGGUCGGAUUAGCUAGUUGGUGGGGUAAAGGCCUACCAAGGCGACGAUCCGUAACUGGUCUGAGAGGAUGAUCAGUCACACUGGAACUGAGAAACGGUCCGGACUCCUACGGAAGGCGGCGGUGGGGAAAAUUGACCAAUGGCGAAAGCCUGAUCCAGCCAUGCCGCGUGUGUGAAGAAGGUCUUCGGAUUGUAAAGCACUUUAAGUUGGGAGGAAGGGCAGUAAGUUAAUACCUUGCUGUUUUGACGUUACCAACAGAAUAAGCACCGGCUAACUUCGUG